Molecule: RNase P RNA, 333 nt
Filed under: Streptococcus pneumoniae
Lineage: Bacteria; Bacillati; Bacillota; Bacilli; Lactobacillales; Streptococcaceae
Description: partial RNase P RNA component class A
Rfam family: Bacterial RNase P class A
About the family: Ribonuclease P (RNase P) is a ubiquitous endoribonuclease, found in archaea, bacteria and eukarya as well as chloroplasts and mitochondria. Its best characterised activity is the generation of mature 5'-ends of tRNAs by cleaving the 5'-leader elements of precursor-tRNAs. Cellular RNase Ps are ribonucleoproteins.
Source: RNAcentral
AGACGAUCGCGGGCGCCAGGGGCGCACGAGGAAAGUCCGGACUCCACAGGGCAGGAUGCUGGCUAACGGCCAGGCGGGGUGACCCGACGGAAAGUGCCGCAGAAAAGAAGACUCUCACCGGCCUCGCGCCAGGAGAAAAGCUGAAACGGUGGUGUAAGAGACCACCAGCGUCGCGGCAACGCGGCGGCUUGGCAAACCCCAUCCGGAGCAAGCGCAAAUAGGGACGCUCGAGGCUGGCCCGGCCUGCGUCCGGGUUGCGCGCUAGAGGGCGGCAGCAAUGCCGUCCGUAGAUAAAUGACCGUCCACGACAGAACCCGGCUUAUCGGCCCACUU